Molecule: long non-coding RNA, 1678 nt
Filed under: Macaca fascicularis (crab-eating macaque)
Lineage: Eukaryota; Metazoa; Chordata; Mammalia; Primates; Cercopithecidae
Description: lncRNA (ENSMFAG00000050379.1)
Source: RNAcentral
AUACAAAAUUAUCAUUUUAUUUCAGGAUAAAAUUUAUCAUGUUGGCAACAGAAUAUGUCCUGCCGACCUCCAAGUGGAUGGCAUAGUAUAUCCACCCCAUGACAGGCCCACUGGGACUGUGGUGAACAUGCCUGUACCUCAGUACAAAGUCCCCUUUCCCUGAGAAAUGUACAGAAGGAUAGAUGAAGAGCGUGUAUUCAAAAGGAAGAGGAAGAAGCUGGGUGCCCUGUGCCCCGAGCUCAGAACUUCAGGGGGAUGGCCGGCUAGUACUUGGGCUGCUUUGGGUCACAGCGCGUGUCAAAGCUCAGCUGCACCGUAGCCUCCAUGGCCUGAAUCUUGGCGGCGCUGUCUCAGUACAAACGCUUCAUCUCGGCCUGGCGCCGCUCACCAGGCCUCUCAGUUGGGGCGUCUACCGACCGGCGGGUGUUGCAGUACAGGUCGUGGUCAGCGUUCACAAACUGUCCAGGCGCUCUGCAUCCGGCUGCCGCCGCCGCCGCCGUUCUUCUCUGUGCCUCUCGGUCUCUGCAAAGUACUGGCGGAGCUCUUCGGUGAUUUCCACGUUGCUCAGGUCACAUUCUACCUCUGCAUCUGACUCGAUCGCCAUCUCUUCCUCUUUAGACAAAGCUUAGUCUUCUCUUAUGGAUGCCUGGAUCCUACUGCUGCCAUGUGGAUGCUGCCCAGACCCUCUGAAAAGUGAAGAACUGCAGGGGGAGUCCUGCUAGGCCACAUGAUGGUCAUAGAAGGACUGACGAUAUGCAGCCUGGUUAUCGUAAGAGCUUUGGGGAAGAAGUGCAGGAAGGAAGUACCAUGGAAGACUGAAACAGGAUUCCGCCGCCUUCCUGUAGGCAUUGUGGUGGCUUUGCAUCCAAGACAUUGCUUGAUGAUAAUGUUGCCAGUAUCUUGCAUAUACUGGAUGAGGAUACCAAGGCCUGGUAGCUUUUGAUGUUGUUGUCUUCACCGCUGCCAUCUCCGAUUGUUAAAGUCCAAAUGGGUGCCGAAACUUGUGGGCAUGCAGCUUGCAGAUCCUGCGUGGUGGCCAAGCAGGCCAUAUUUUAGAAAUCUUUCCAGGCGGGUCGCGUUGGCUCACGCCUGUGAUCCUAACACUUCGGGAGGCCGAGACGGGGCUGGGAGUGGGGGGAUUGCUUGAGCCCAGGAGUUGGAGACCUGCUUGGGCAACAUGGCAAAACCCCCAUCUCUAUAAAAAUAAUUUAAAAAAUUUUUAAAGAAUUAUUAUUUCCAUUUUAUUUCAAUGCUUUGUCUUUCAAGAAAAUUUAUUGACAGCGAUAAUCGGACUCCAUAUGCAAUUUUGUAUCUUGCUUUUCAAAUUUGCCACAGGCUUCUAAAAACGUCCCAGACUUCUGUGUCUCCAUGGAGGAAACUCUGCAAGUACUUACAAAUGUUAUGAUUAGUCAUCCGUAGCCAAUACAAAGCAAAAGUUAGGCUUGCAAUUUUAUUAGUUAGGGCAGGAAGAAGGCAUUCCAACCGGCUUCUUUCGCUCUUGCCAGGUUCAAACAUGGCGGGCCGCAGCCGGCCCUUCCCAUACACUCGGCUUGCUUUCCCACAACCCCUGCCAAUCUUUAGCGCUCCUUUUUUACCUUCCUUCCCCAUCAGCGGCUCCGGAGGGUCAGCACCUCCGAUCAUGACAGCGGACCUGCUUCCCGCCCCCACGCGAGGGCCC